GGUGAGAUGGCUCAGCCGGUAAGAGCACCCAACUGCUCUUCUGAAGGUUCUGAGUUCAAAUCCCAGCAACCCCA
RNAcentral lists this transfer RNA (74 nucleotides) under Mus musculus (house mouse). RNAcentral describes it as "tRNA-Ser". The record is from RNAcentral. Lineage: Eukaryota; Metazoa; Chordata; Mammalia; Rodentia; Muridae.